Molecule: ribosomal RNA, 262 nt
Filed under: uncultured bacterium
Lineage: Bacteria
Description: partial 16S ribosomal RNA
Rfam family: Bacterial small subunit ribosomal RNA
Source: RNAcentral
CUGGCCCUACGGGACGCAGCAGUGAGGAAUAUUGGUCAAUGGGCGGGAGCCUGAACCAGCCAAGUCGCGUGAGGGAAGACGGUCCUAUGGAUUGUAAACCUCUUUAGGCGGGGAGCAAUGCCGGGCACGCGUGCCCGGAGGGAGAGUACCCGCAGAAAAAGCAUCGGCUAACUCCGUGCCAGCAGCCGCGGUAAUACGGAGGAUGCGAGCGUUAUCCGGAUUUAUUGGGUUUAAAGGGUGCGCAGGCGGUCUUUUAAGUCAG